ACUCUAUCCACCAAGGCUUGGAUAGAUAGGAAGAAAUCACCUAGUAUUUGCCUCCGCUGGGAUUUGAACCUAAGACAUGAUGGUUCUCACCCACUUUAUUGAUCACUAGGCCACACCCUUGGGUGCUUGAAGUUCCCUAACAUAUAGCUAUAUUAAUUGCUAAUUGUAAUUUGAAUACAAUAAUCAUCCUCCUUGCUGAUUUCAAAUUUAUUUCAUUAACUUUAGGUUCAUAACAAACCAAAUAGUUGUUAAGUAUUUAUUAAGAGACAUGCAUGUGACAAGACAACAACAUACCCAGUAUGAUCUCACACGUGGGCAUGCAUGUGACAAUACAACUCAAGAAUUGUGAUUUCAUAUACUACUUUGGUUUCAAAAAUAAUGAACCUUUUUUUCUUUUUAGUCAGUUAAAAAAAAGUGACCCAUUUCUAAAUUUGGAAAGAAUGUAACUUUAAACUUCUUAUUUUACCCAUAAUGAGAUGAUUUAUAGUCACGCAAAUAUCUAUAGAUUUUUUUGGACCGCAAAUUUCAAAAGUUUUCUCUUUAAUUAAACUCCGCGCACAGUCAAAUAAGUUCAAACAAAUUAAAACGGAGGGGGUAAUACUUUUACAAAUAAUAGCAUUGUUGCUAACACUCUCUUCAAUGUUUGAAUGUUCACCCAAAUAUAAUGUCUAUCAAGGAAAAUAUUGGCUCCAAAUAUAAAGUAAACAGUGUUAAUACUAUAAUAUGUUUUAAUGAAGACAAAAUGAUUAGUUUUGAUCAGGGGCGGAUUUAGGGGUGGAAGGGGAAAAAUUACAAUGUAUAUAUAAGGCAAAAUCUGUUUUUUACCUUUAUAUAUUAAGUUUUGAACCCUCUUGACACAACCCAAAAGUAUAACCUAGUGGUCAAAGGGGUUCAAAAUCUUUGAAAUGCCAUAGGUUCAAUUCCCAUUAGGUUCAACUCCGCCACUGGUUUUGAUACUGAUUAGUAUAAAUUAUCCUUGCAGGAGAAAUUAGUCAAUUGAUUAGGCAGCCCACAAGUGUCAAGAAGUCCAUGAAGAUCAUAAGAAGAGGAAGCUUCCCAGCCCAAAACCAGUCAAGACUCGAAGCAAAUUCAGAAUAUUUAAAUCAAAGUCUGGUUGAUUCAAAUGAAGCAAAGAAUAAUUACCAAAGUCAGUUGAGAUUAUUGAAGUCACUUCAAGUAUCAAACUGAGUGUAUUUAACUCCCUCGUUUCACUCGUAAAAUUGGUUCCAAGUUCCAACAUUCUCCAUUAGGGCUAAUCAAGUCAAUUCCCUCAUUAAUGUAAGGAGCGGGCUCAUUCAAAUCAUUGAAGAUAUUGGGGAAAGGCCACAACGUCUAGCUUUUCCUUGCCUAUAGUAUUCUCUUUUAUUUUCUAUUAAGCACUAUAAUCUUGUAUAGUGAUUGUAUCAAAAAACAAAAGAGAAAGGUGAGAGUGAGUUGGGUAUGGAAGCCAAAAGGAAGCAAAUGUAGUUGUAGAAAGAAAGAACAGAUUAUUACAAGACAUGGCGAGAACUAUGUUUGUAGAAAGUUCUAUCCCAACCUAAUUUUGGGCUGAAUCUGUAAGUACGACUUGACACAUUUUAAAUCGAUGUUUAAUCAUACUAAUUCUUAAGAAAACUCCAUAUGAGUUAUGAAAAGGAAAGAAGUCAAAUGUCAGCUACUUUCAUCGCCUUUGUUAGCAAGUAUUUCAUACUCAACAACGGUAAGAACAAUCUCGGAAAGCUUGAUCCAAGAAGUGAUGAAGGAAUAUUUAUGGAUUUCUCCAUAUCUAGCAGAUCAUACAGAUUAUUCAACAAAAGAACCUUACAUGUGGAGGAAUCAGUUCAUAUUGUUGCAGUUUCUUUCCAAAAGACAAUAACAUAACUGUUGAUGAACUAGAUAUACUUGCUCCUCAAAAUAUUAAUACUCCUGAUCAAGAAGAAAAUGAAGUUGAGAAUUGUAUCGACCCAAUUAGUUGUUUUGAGUUUUAGCACUCCGUUUUGUGAUCCAAGACUUGAGUAGCUUCAUUUGAUGUUUUAUGGCGUGUGUGGUUGAUUUUAAUUUCAAGAAGUCCGGGUGUAUUUUAAAAGAAGAAUUCUCUUUUUAGAAACCUAAGUUGCUAUAGUUGACUAAGGUCAACAUUCUUAGUAAAUAAUCCCGAAUUGAUAUUUUGAUGGUUCCUUUAGUUUCGUAUGAUUUGAUCUUGUAUUAUGUUUGGUUUGGGCCUCGGUGACCUGUGGUCAUUUCGGCACUUCUCGUCGAAGUUGUUUUUUAUGUUAUGAUCUCUCGAGCAAGUUUGAAUAGACUACAUUGACUAGUUAGGAUAAUUGGAGCGGCUCGGGUGAGUUUCGGAUUGUUUUUCGAAUAUUUUUGCACUCAUCGCAGCAAUAUUCUUCUGCUGGUAUGCAGUGCUUCGCGAUCGCGGAGGAGGUCUCGCAAUCACAUAGGGUGUUUGGGCUCAUCAGGAAAUUACCCUACGCCAACGCUGAAGGUUUGGGGAAAUGACCUUUAUGAACUCGAAGGCUUCCAGCACUGACCUUCGCGAAUGCGACAAGGGUGUCGCAAACACGAUGCACCUCGAGCCCAGGGGUAUAAAUAGUGUUAAAAAUUCGGAUUUAGCCAUUUUCACCAUUUUUGAGACCUAGACCAUGGAUUGGGGCGAUUUAUUAGAGGAAUUUUACCUCAACUUCAAAGGUUAGUAAUUUUAACUAAGUUUUGACUUAUUAUCAUAAUUCCCCAUAGAUUUAACCCCUAUAGCAAGCAUUUUAAAGUGUAGAUAAUGAGUUUUUGGAUCUGAACUUAAGAGAGUGAAUUUUGAAAUUUGGGACCUUAAUUUGAGGUUGGAUGUUGAAUCUAAUUACAUAUUUGGAUUCGGGGAUGAAUGAGUAAUUGAGAAUCAGUCCCGUUUUUUGGAUUUGGACCAAGUGUGCCAGGGUUGACUUUUUGUUGACUAUUGAGAAUUCACCAAAGAUUGAAGCUUUAUUGAUUGGCGUAUUUUCUUUAGCAUUAUUUGACUUUCUUAGACCGUAUUUGGAUAGGUUUUGGUUGUUUGAUUGAGGAUUUUAAAGGAAAAGCAGUAUUUGAGGGUUAAAGCUUUAUCGGCAGAAGGUAAGUCUCUUGUUUAACCUUGUAAGAGAGAAUUUUUCCCCUAAGUGACUUAUGUGCUAUGUGUUAUUUGUAUUGGAGGCUACGUAUAUGCGAGGCAACAAGAGUAUAUACUUGUGCUUGUAUUUUUUUACCAUGUCCGGGUAGCUUAAGCCUUUAAUAUGCCUUGUUUGGAUCAAAUGAGUUACUUUCACAUGCUUCUUUGGCUUCCAGGGCUACUUGGCUAUUUUUAUUCAAGUUAAAGACCAUGAUUAGAAGUAUAAUUAUGUAAUGAGUAUUUUGGGCUUUUGAGAUAUGUUGUUUUACAUGAUUAGCCGUAGAUAUCUCUUAUUCUUGUAAAAAUUUAUCUGCAAUCUCUAUUUUAUUGUCAUGGUGUAACUUAUUAUAUUAUCUCAUGUGCAUACACUUAAGUUGGAAGUUGGAUAUUGUAGAGAGAUUUGAGGACUUUUGACCCUAUGGACACUAUGAGCGGAUAUAAAUUAUUGCUUGCGAUCUACUUGAUUGGAUCGACGCUCGGAUUUGGAUCCAUCCCUUCGGAAUCAGAUUCUGAGGCAGGGGCUAGCGCUACUCACCCAGCUGUGUAGGCUUGUUUGUUGGAGACUUCAUGGAUCUCUUCGGUGGACAGGUGAAGAAAUAGGUAGAGAGGAAGAUGGUUUUUAUGUCUUCAACUCCAACUCAGGAAAUGAAGGUGGAUUACAAGUAUCAGGUGUAGAAGUCAAGAGUUCAAUUUCAAGAUUAAUGCAUAACUUUAAAUACAAUAAAAGUUCGUAGAGUAAUAAAUGUAGCUUUAUGGAAGAGGAGGUUAGGACAUGUUCCUUUAGAUACUAUGAAGAAACUAAACGACUUUCAAACUGUUGGAUGUAAUGAUGUUGCCAAGCAUUGUAUUGUCUGUCCAUUGGCUAAACAAAGCAGAUUGCCUUUUCCUUUGAGUACUAUAGUUUCUGGUUCUUGUUUUUAUAUAAUUCACGGUGAAGUGUGGGGUCCUUACAGAGUUCCUACUUAUGAUGGAAAGAGAUAUUUUCCGACUUUGGUAAAUGAUCAUUCCUGAUAUACAUGGGUCUUUCUUUUGCCUACUAAGGCUGAAGUGAUUGUUUCUCUUAAAUCUUUCUUUUUCAUGGUUAAGAAUGUUUAUCCUUCUUCAUUUUAAAAAAAAGAAUGUUUAUCCUUCUUCUGUGAAAUAUUUAAGGUCUGCAAUAGGUGUGAAAUUUAUAUCUCAUAAAUGACUAAGUUACUGCAGACGCUAGGCAUUGUUCAUCAAAGUUCUCGUGUGAACACUUCACAACAGAAUGGAGUAGCUGAGAGAAAACACAUGUAUAUAUUGGAGGUGGCAAGAGCACUCAGGCUCCAAGCUGCAGAUCCAUUAAAAUUCUGGGAAGAAUGUGUCAUCACUGUUGUGUAUAUCAUCAAUAGACUUCCAUACAAUAUACUUAAAAGCAAAUAUCUAUUUGAGGUUAUGUUUAGUCAUUCAUCUUCUUUGAAUCAGAUGAAGGUUUUUGGUUGUUUGGGGUAUGUGAUUGAGGUUAUGAAGGCAUACAAAUUCUCUCCAAGAGUUGCAGUCUUUCUUCGGUAUUCUGUUACUCAAAAAGGUUACAAAAUGUUUGGAGUUGAUUCCAAAGAGUUUAUAGUUAGCAGGGAUGUAAUGUUCAAGGAAAAUGUUCAAGAAUCUUAGCACAACAGAUUCUUCUUUAUUUCUUGUUUUGGAUUUUGUAUAUGUUCUUCAUUCAGGAGAUGCAAGGCACAGUCCUAUCUAGUCCCUUGAAGUUCAUCCUACUGACAUUCCUAAUACUAAUGAUGUUCUUGUGUCUGCUCCAUCUAAUGAUGAUCCAGGUGUUCCUAUGAUUGCAGAUUCAGCAAUUCCAAUUGCAUCUACAUAUCCUCCCAAUGAAAGCAGAAAAUCAAGUAGAGCUACUAUACCUCCCAUCUGGACGAAUGACUAAAUUACUCCUGCUCAUUGUUGCUAUCCUAUCUCAGACUGUGUGAGCUAUGCAAAUGUGUCCCCCCAGUAUGGCACUACACUAGCCACCUACUCAGCUAUAGUUGAACCAACUUCCUAUACUAAAGCAGUCAAAGAUGCCAAAUGGAUUGAAGCAAUGGAGGCUGAGAUCUCUGCACUGGAGAAAAAUAACACAUGGAGCAUUAUAGAACUUCCUCUAGGGAAGGUUGCUAUAGGCUGCAACUGGGUGCUCAAGGUUAAGUACAUGGCCUCAGAGGCUGUGGAGUGAUAUAAAGCUAGGCUUAUAGCUAAAGGUUACAACCAACAGGAGGGACGAGACUACACUGAAACCUAUUUCCCUAUGGCCAAGAUGGUCACAGUAAGGUCAGUGUUAGCAAUAGCAACAACCAAGAAUUAUUGCAUCUUUCAAGUGGAUGUACACAAUGUUUUCCUUCAAGGAGAUCUCCUAGAGGAAGUAUACAUGGAUAUUUCACAAGGAUUUGUUAGCCAGGGAAGGAAGCAGAGAGUCAAAACUAUACAAGUCCUUAUAUGGACUCAAGCAAGCUCCCAUGCAGUGGAAUAAGAAUCUAACAGAUGCUUUGUUACAACUUGGAUUCACUCAAAGUCACUUCGACUAUUCACUCUUUACAAAGGAGGUGCAGGCUGAAUUGGUCGCGGUGCUAGUGUAUGUUGAUGAUCUCUUAAUAACAGGCAGUGAUUCUGGUUUGAUCAUGAAGACCAGAAAUGAUCUGAAGCACAAGUUCAAAAUGAAAGAUCUGGAAGAACUUAAGUUCUUUUUGGGAAUAGGAUUUGCUAGAUCAAGAAAUGGAAUUGUAAUUAACCAGAGAAAUUAUGCACUAGAACUGAUGGCAGAAAUGGGACUUAGUAGUGCUAAACCAGCUGGUACACCUCUGGAAACUAAUGUGAAGUUGACAUCUGUUGAAUAUGACAACUUCAUCAGCAGGAACUCAUCUGAAGCAUAGCUUUUUCUAUCUGAAUGGAGAUAUAUUAUAUGGGGGGUGGCUAGCUAGGUUGAAGGAAGAGAGAAAGAGAAUGCAUUAAUAUGGGUCAAAACUAAUCCUUAAUCUGUAGGUGUGCGUUUAUGUUGAAAAAUACUACUAUAACAUUAAAUAAAUAUGUUAUUUUUGAAAUAAAUCAGAAGUGAUGAUACGUUCAAUAAUAGUCUUAAUUAAGUGUUGUAGCAUGUAAAAAUCUCUUUUCUUCUCUCUCUUUCAGGUGAAACAUAUACUCAAAAAAGUGGAAAAGGAAAAAACAAA
Nicotiana tabacum (common tobacco) is the source of this 6291-nucleotide non-coding RNA. Lineage: Eukaryota; Viridiplantae; Streptophyta; Magnoliopsida; Solanales; Solanaceae. The record is from RefSeq and is a predicted model, not a curated record.